Molecule: ribosomal RNA, 492 nt
Filed under: uncultured bacterium
Lineage: Bacteria
Description: partial 16S ribosomal RNA
Rfam family: Bacterial small subunit ribosomal RNA
Source: RNAcentral
AGUGAACGCUGGCGGUAGGCCUAACACAUGCAAGUCGAACGGCAGCACAGUAAGAGCUUGCUCUUACGGGUGGCGAGUGGCGGACGGGUGAGGAAUACAUCGGAAUCUACUUUUUCGUGGGGGAUAACGUAGGGAAACUUACGCUAAUACCGCAUACGACCUACGGGUGAAAGCAGGGGAUCUUCGGACCUUGCGCGAUUGAAUGAGCCGAUGUCGGAUUAGCUAGUUGGCGGGGUAAAGGCCCACCAAGGCGACGAUCCGUAGCUGGUCUGAGAGGAUGAUCAACCACACUGGAACUGAGACACGGUCCAGACUCCUACGGGAGGCAGCAGUGGGGAAUAUUGGACAAUGGGCGCAAGCCUGAUCCAGCCAUACCGCGUGGGUGAAGAAGGCCUUCGGGUUGUAAAGCACUUUUGUUGGGAAAGAAAAGCAGCAGGUUAAUACCCCGCUGUUCUGACGGUACCCAAAGAAUAAGCACCGGCUAACUUCGUG